This 497-nucleotide ribosomal RNA is filed under the name uncultured bacterium. RNAcentral's name for it is "partial 16S ribosomal RNA". It matches the Rfam family "Bacterial small subunit ribosomal RNA", at positions 28 to 507 of the family's 1533-position model. The record is from RNAcentral.
GAUGAACGCUGGCGGCGUGCCUAAUACAUGCAAGUCGAGCGAACGGACGAGGAGCUUGCUCCUCUGAUGUUAGCGGCGGACGGGUGAGUAACACGUGGAUAACCUACCUAUAAGACUGGGAUAACUUCGGGAAACCGGAGCUAAUACCGGAUAAUAUUUUGAACCGCAUGGUUCAAAAGUGAAAGACGGUCUUGCUGUCACUUAUAGAUGGAUCCCGGCUGCAUUAGCUAGUUGGUAAGGUAACGGCUUACCAAGGCAACGAUCCUUAGCCGACCUGAGAGGGUGAUCGGCCACACUGGAACUGAGACACGGUCCAGACUCCUACGGGAGGAAGCAGUAGGGAAUCUUCCGAAAUGGGCGAAAGCCUGACGGAGCAACGCCGCGUGAGUGAUGAAGGUCUUCGGAUCGUAAAACUCUGUUAUUAGGGAAGAACAUAUGUGUAAGUAACUGUGCACAUCUUGACGGUACCUAAUCAGAAAGCCACGGCUAACUACGUG